AAUUAUCAGUGAGCAAAACAGUUUUUAUUUCAACGCAAGGAAACAAAACCGAAACUAGCGCAACUGUUUUGCCCAGUUGUGCAGAUACAAAAUGAUCCAAAGCCGAAGCCGUCAAUAGCAUGACGCCAUUUUGAACUUGUGCUUCAUCACGCGCGAGUACGUUGUCGUUGAGUGGUUCUGAAAUCGCUGCGUUAAGGGCGACUGCAACCAAGCGUUGUGGCAAGUUACGGUGGGAGCUUCUGUCCGUGCUGUGCGAUUGCGACGAGGGGACCGCCGCCAGCAGCAGCGUAUCGCCGAUUUCGUCUUUGCCGACAUCGCCGGACCGUCACAAGCGCCCGAAGUGCUGCGGUUUGCACUGCAUCUUUCAUUGUGAUAUGGGAGAUCGCAACGGACAGAGACGACCAGAUGCAUACGACCGACUACCAGCGGGGAGUGACCUGUGCCAUAUUUCUCUUAACGUCUCAGGUAUUCAAGAAAUGGCAACAGCGAGAAGUCACCAUCUUACCAGCACGUUAUGGGUACACUCUGGCGGCUCCUACCCCUGUGUCCUCCCACCACCCUGUCCUGACUACGUCCACUAGGUAGUUGGGAGCCUUUGGUGGCUUCUGCCACUGCAUCCUGCCGCCACCAUGUCCCGACUAUGUCCACUAGGGAGUUGGCAGCCUUAGUGAUGAUGCCAGCAGGCUGACAGCCGACAGAAAGAUUCAGGUUGCCUCGAAAUUUUACCCAAGCCAUGCCGCACACUCGGGCCAGGCCUCUUGCGAACGACGUAUAAGCAGGCUCGACGCAUCAGGGUCGAGGGAGUCCGGAGAUCAAGGCAACCUGCUGUGCAACCUUUGGUGACCCCUCUACAUUUGCUACCUAUUUCACAGCUGUGCCUCACCUACCAUCUAUAUAAACAGCAUCACCGGCUGUGAUCACUUA
Dermacentor albipictus is the source of this 924-nucleotide non-coding RNA. NCBI's taxonomy places the organism in Eukaryota, Metazoa, Arthropoda, Arachnida, Ixodida, Ixodidae. The record is from RefSeq and is a predicted model, not a curated record.